Long non-coding RNA from Homo sapiens (human), 648 nucleotides. The record is from Ensembl. Lineage: Eukaryota; Metazoa; Chordata; Mammalia; Primates; Hominidae.
AUGCUGUCACUGCUGAAAAAGAAAAAAAUAUCCAAAGUGCAAUGAAGAAAUUGCACACAAGAACAAGCUACGGUCUGUCCUCUAUGCUGAUGUUGGCAGCCUGCUUCUGCAGAACAUGCUUAACUGGCUAUCUGAGGACCAGAGGGGAAGACAGCCGACCCCACCACUUCUGAGACCCUAUCUUGCAGCCUUAUGAAAGGAGAAGUUAUGCUUAAUUCUUGGGGAAACAAAGGAAUGGCUACACCAGUAAGUUAGCCUUACCAUUGACUUGGGACUCUGAGAAGUGGAGAUGGGGACAACAGUAAUGGGGACAGAUGAACAAUGUCUCUUGCUUUAGGUUCAGCAGGGACUCUUGAGAAGUGGAGAUGGGGACAACAGUAAUGGGGACAGAUGAACAAUGUCUCUUGCUUUAGGUUCAGCAGUCAGAGACCCAGGCACCAAGCGAGAAGGAACUCAGCCUACUGAAAUAACUUCUUAGGUCAAUUCCUGGAUCCAGUAUUUCCUCAGUGCCAUCCAUUCUACAGUCCAGAUUAAUCCUCCCUAAAAACCUUUCCAACAUGCCACUGAAGUACUCUAAUUGGCUCCUCCUGAUAUCCUAUCAAAAUGGGCUUCUAAUUCGACCUAACUUAUUUUACAGAAGAAGCUGAG